This 439-nucleotide ribosomal RNA is filed under the name uncultured bacterium. RNAcentral's name for it is "bacterial SSU rRNA". It matches the Rfam family "Bacterial small subunit ribosomal RNA", at positions 958 to 1397 of the family's 1533-position model. The record is from RNAcentral.
AACGCGAAGAACCUUACCUGGGCUCGAAAUGUAGUGGACUGGGGUAGAAAUAUCCCUUCCUAGCAAUAGGUCGCUAUAUAGGUGCUGCAUGGCUGUCGUCAGCUCGUGUCGUGAGAUGUUGGGUUAAGUCCCGCAACGAGCGCAACCCUUAUCUCCAGUUGCUACCAUUUAGUUGAGCACUCUGGUGAGACUGCCUCGGAUAACGGGGAGGAAGGCGGGGAUGACGUCAAGUCCUCAUGGCCUUUAUGUCCAGGGCUACACACGUGCUACAAUGGUCGGUACAAACCGUCGCAAACCCGCGAGGGGGAGCUAAUCGGAAAAAGCCGGCCUCAGUUCGGAUUGGAGUCUGCAACUCGACUCCAUGAAGCUGGAAUCGCUAGUAAUCGCAGAUCAGAAUGCUGCGGUGAAUACGUUCCCGGGCCUUGUACACACCGCACGA